UACGUAGGGUGCAAGCGUUUGUCCGGAAUUAUUGGGCGUAAAGAGCUCGUAGGCGGUUUGUCGCGUCCGCUGUGAAAUCCCGGGGCUCAACCCCGGGCGUGCAGUGGAUACGGGCUGGCUGGAGGCAGGCAGGGGAGAACGGGAAUUCCUGGUGUAGCGGUGAAAUGCGCAGAUAUCAGGAGGAACACCGGUGGCGAAGGCGGUUCUCUGGGCCUGUACUGACGCUGAGGAGCGAAAGCGUGGGGAGCGAACAGG
Molecule: ribosomal RNA, 255 nt
Filed under: uncultured bacterium
Lineage: Bacteria
Description: partial 16S ribosomal RNA
Rfam family: Bacterial small subunit ribosomal RNA
Source: RNAcentral